GGCAACGUGCCAGAGUGGUUAAUGGGUUAGACUCGAACCGAAGCUGCGAUUCGGCAGCUUCAGAGCGAUCUAAUGGCUUCGGCCGCACAAGUUCGAAUCUUGUCGUUGUCG
Molecule: non-coding RNA, 111 nt
Organism: Gaeumannomyces graminis
Lineage: Eukaryota; Fungi; Ascomycota; Sordariomycetes; Magnaporthales; Magnaporthaceae
Source: Rfam